Molecule: ribosomal RNA, 252 nt
Filed under: uncultured bacterium
Lineage: Bacteria
Description: partial 16S ribosomal RNA
Rfam family: Bacterial small subunit ribosomal RNA
Source: RNAcentral
UACGAAGGGGGCUAGCGUUGCUCGGAAUUACUGGGCGUAAAGCGCACGUAGGCGGCUUUCUAAGUCGGGGUGAAAUCCUGGAGCUCAACUCCAGAACUGCCUUCGAUACUGGAGAGCUUGAGUCCGGGAGAGGUGAGUGGAACUGCGAGUGUAGAGGUGAAAUUCGUAGAUAUUCGCAAGAACACCAGUGGCGAAGGCGGCACUCUGGGACGGUACUGACGCUGAGACGCGAAAGCGUGGGAGCGAACGAGG